GGUGGCAUUUGGUCACAGGUGAUGUUCUCAGUGGUUUUUGCAGUGUAAUUGAUUCUGUGGUUCUGUGAGCCCGCUCUGGCGCCCCAGCAGCUCCCAGGACCCCCAGAGACACAGCCAGGAUAGCGGUGGGUCCCUCACUCCCUGCUGCUGCCCCCGUGCCAAGCUCCCUCUGGAGGCACAAGGACGGGCACUGAGGUGCCGGUGCCUUGGGAGGGUGCCUGGCUGGCUCAGCUCCUCACUGCGCCGCACAGAACACGUUCUCCCGAGAGACCCAGAGGCGCAGGGCCCUACCCCAGCCGGGCCCAGAAGAUUUCCUCAGUCCGUGCACUGACUGCAGUACAAAUUCACUGUCUGCUGCAGGGAAUUCACUCACCAAUGACAGCGUUUGUCCUGCGGGGACUUGCCUCCAGACUGAUUAUGGUGCUGCCACAGGGUCUCACUCUUGUGGGAUUUGGUGCUGGCUACCAAAAGAACCGGGCAAGAUUUGGCAAAAAGAGCAGCACUGAAGGCACAGGUCCCACCCAGAGUUACGAGGGGCCAAAAACCUUGAGCUCCUUUGCCCAGAGGAUGUCUAGCAAGAUGGACUGCUUCUCUUAAAGAUCUACAGCUACUGUGAGAAAAAGGAGAGUUAUUUUUGGAAUAACUUUUUUAUGGAGUAAGUCUUUUAUGAAGAGGUAGUGCUUUUUUGGAUUUGGCAUUGGGGAUUUUGUUUUAAUCCAGCCUGAAUCCUGUGAUGGGGUGAGUGAAGCUAAAUGAGGUGGGUGCUUUUUGAAAGAAAAAAGCAUAACAGAGGCAGAUGGUGUGGGGGAGAAAGUAAAAUAGGAAACAUGAAACAAAUAUAUUGUUAGAGAUGCAAUUUUUCUGUAGUAAAAAUGCUUCAGCUUCUUGGUUUGAUUGACUGUUCCUUUUUUUUUCUUUCUUCAUGUUUUCUGCACAUUUUAUUGCAUGUUAGGUACCACACAGCAUAAUUCAGUUUAUUUUUCAGAUAAAAAUUAUUCAUUCUCUUAAGAUACAAUGAUAACAGAUAAAAAAAGGAAGUUAGGAAGCUCAUGUGAAAGAAUUUAAAUGUGAUGAGUCAUCCAACCUCAGCAGUGAACAAUAAACAUGAGGAAUUCUACUUUGUUUUUACUUGGAUUAGGCUGCUCAAGGUGCAGGUCUUGGCUUCACUUUCCUUAAAACUGGCAGGUAUGAUUGUCCCUCUCUUGUUUAGAUAAAAUUAUCCAAACAUUGCUGGCUAACUUGGUCUGAGUUUUUAGUUAUUUAUUUUAAAAAACAGGCUGUGUCAGCAGGAGUGUGUGGAGGUGCCAAGGACCUGGUGGAAUGCAGGUUUUGUGUGUCACUCUUAGAACACACUGUCACAACAGGGAUUGCAAAUUCUCUCUGCAUUUUCUUUCUCUUGGUGUCACUGAUUUAGCAUUUUCACAGGUGGGUUGCAUUUUAAACAUCUUUUGCUCUUCUGAGGAAAAUUCUAGUUUUGUCUUAAUCUGGCCUUUCAUAAGGUAAGGUAACCACACAGUAUUUUGGAUAUCAUCCUGCGAAUUGCUGCUUGGGAAAACAGUAGAUUUUUUUAUCGUGCAUACGUAAUUAAGUUGUUAUUAAACAAAUAUUUAACAAAUCAUGCUGAGUUAUUUCUUCCUCUGGGCUUCAGCGAAGGGCUGAGAACAGCUUUUACCUGAGCGCCACUGGCUGCUCCCUCACGACAGGUUUCAUUGCCCUGGUUUGACACUUAAAAUCUUUUUUUUUUUUUUUUUAAUUUUUUCCUUAAAACCGGGGCGGGCCCCUCACGCCAUCAGCGCGCGCCGCCGGUCACGUGUCCCUUGUUUACCGCGGGCGCUGCGGCGGGUGAGGGACCGACAGACCGACCCCGACCGACAGACCGACCACCCCGCCGGGGGCAGCGGGAGAUCGGCGUGGGGGGGAAAGGGCGUACCCCGCAGGGGCGCUGUGAGGGCUUGUCCCCUCUCGGGCGGUGUGAGGUGCGCGAGCCCGCCCUGCGGAGCAGCGAGAGGAGCUGGCGUCCCCUCAGGGACGGCAUGAAGCGGGAAUGUCUGUGUCGGUGUCUGUGCGUGUCCCAGCAGCGGUGUGAGGCGGGAAUGUCUCCUCCCCUCAGGGCCGGUAUGAGGCAGCCAUGGCCCCUCCCCUCAGGGCCGGUAUGAGGGGGUAAUGGCUCCUCCCCUCAGGGCCGGUAUGAGGCGGGAAUGGCUCCUCCCCUCAGGUGUGGCAUGAGGCGGGAAUGUCUCCUCCCCUCAGGUGUGGCAUGAGGCGGGAAUGUCUGUGUCUAUCCUAGGAGCGGUGUGAGGCCGGAAUGGUCCCCCACGUCCGCAGCGGCGUGAGGUGGGAAUGGCCCUCCUCUCAGGGGCGGUGUGAGGCGGGAAUGGCUCCUCUCCUCAGGGGCGGCUCAGCAUGUCCCUGCCAGCAAAGAGGUUUGGAAGGCCCCCAGUGUUGUCUUUUCUGGAAAAGAAAAAGAGAAAUAAAAAUAUUGAUAGAAGAAGGGGGAAAACAAGGAUUUAUGUAGGAAAUCACAUUGACUAGUAGCUGACUCUUAAGGAAAAGUUGGAUUUCAGAAACGGUGAAGAAGUCGCAGGGUUUUUACUGGAUAUGUAUGACAGCUACAACCUGCUGUCAAAAGCUCUGCUCUGUCCCCUCUCUGAGGGUGUGAGAAGGAUCACUGGGAAGGAAGAAAGCAUUGUCAGCCAGCACUCCUUUAAUAUCAGCAGAUGGAAUGUAUGAUGAUGACCAGCUGCCUAAAGAAUCUGCUUGUUCUGAAUUUGGAGAGCAGGUGAACAAGCUGGGGUUCAGAAAGCAAUUCUAUGACAGAGAAGAAUCCUUGGAAGCUAGGUCGGGAGUAAAUAAAUACCAGUGCUGAUGAAGCUGAAAAAUUCAGGGUGAGCAGCGAGAAGAAAAUCAAGCUCUUGCAUAACAAUACGGGGCAAUUUUUACUCCAUUUUGAUUUUGCUAUGAGGUUCUUGUGAACUGUAAAGAAUUGCUAUGAAAUAAGUGGAGUACUUUCAGGAACUGAAGUUCUACAGAACGGUGUUGGCGGUUCUGAACGUUUCGUAGUUACCGAGUGGGAGCAAUCCUGCAGAGGUUUUGAACUGAGAAGCUGAGUGUAGAGUUCCUUCCUGAGUGAUUACCUGGGAGAGUGGAACGGAUGCUCUCUGUCCAAGGCAUUUGAGUUUUCAUUGUCUCACAACACGUGGAGGAUUUGGGGCUGUGCCUUUAUCCUUUUGGUCACUACGGAGUUCCAGCGUGGCUGAGUCGACUGCUCACCUCCUCAGACUC
This is a long non-coding RNA of Onychostruthus taczanowskii (white-rumped snowfinch), 3282 nucleotides long. RefSeq lists it as uncharacterized. Lineage: Eukaryota; Metazoa; Chordata; Aves; Passeriformes; Passeridae. The transcript is spliced from 9 exons. The record is from RefSeq and is a predicted model, not a curated record.